RNAcentral lists this microRNA precursor (126 nucleotides) under Myotis davidii. RNAcentral's name for it is "mir-9193 microRNA precursor family". It matches the Rfam family "mir-9193 microRNA precursor family". Lineage: Eukaryota; Metazoa; Chordata; Mammalia; Chiroptera; Vespertilionidae. The record is from Rfam by way of RNAcentral.
CAUGCACCAGUGGGGUCCCUUGGCCUGGCCUGUGCCCUCUUGCAAUCCAGGACCCCUUGAGGGAUGUCAGAGAGCCGGUUUUGGCCUGAUCCCACAGGCCAGGCCGAGGGACCCCACUGGUGCACA